RNAcentral lists this ribosomal RNA (819 nucleotides) under uncultured bacterium. RNAcentral describes it as "bacterial SSU rRNA". It matches the Rfam family "Bacterial small subunit ribosomal RNA", at positions 44 to 883 of the family's 1533-position model. The record is from RNAcentral.
GUGCUUAACACAUGCAAGUCGAACGAUGAAGCCUAGCUUGCUAGGUGGAUUAGUGGCGCACGGGUGAGUAAUAUAUAGAUAACGUGCCUCUUAGUCUGGGAUAGCCAUUGGAAACGAUGAUUAAUACUGGAUACUCCUUCUCUUUAUAAUAAGAGUUGGGAAAGUUUUUCGCUAAGAGAUCGGUCUAUAUCCCAUCAGCUUGUUGGUAGUGUAAGAGACUACCAAGGCAAUGACGGGUAGCGGGUUUGAGAGGAUGAUCCGCCACACUGGUACUGAGACACGGACCAGACUCCUACGGGAGGCAGCAGUGAGGAAUAUUGCACAAUGGAGGAAACUCUGAUGCAGCAACGCCGCGUGGAGGAUGACGCAUUUCGGUGUGUAAACUCCUUUUAUAGGUCAAGAAAAUGACGGUAGCCUAUGAAUAAGCACCGGCUAACUCCGUGCCAGCAGCCGCGGUAAUACGGAGGGUGCAAGCGUUAUUCGGAAUCACUGGGCGUAAAGGACACGUAGGCGGGAAGCCAAGUCUGAUGUGAAAUCCUACAGCUUAACUGUAGAACUGCAUUGGAAACUGGUUACCUAGAGUAUGGGAGGGGGAGAUGGAAUUAGUGGUGUAGGGGUAAAAUCCGUAGAUAUCACUAGGAAUACCUAAAGCGAAGGCGAUCUCCUGGAACAUUACUGACGCUAAGGUGUGAAAGCGUGGGGAGCAAACGGGAUUAGAUACCCCGGUAGUCCACGCCCUAAACGAUGUUCACUAGUCGUCGGGAUGCUAGUCAUCUCGGUGAUGCACUUAACAGAUUAAGUGAACCGCCUGGGGAGUAC